AGGAAGGUAGUUAACUAUAACAUUUGAUUUGCAUUCAAAAAGUAUUGGGUAUCCAAUUCUUCUUA
Molecule: transfer RNA, 65 nt
Filed under: Teloganodidae sp. MT-2014
Lineage: Eukaryota; Metazoa; Arthropoda; Insecta; Ephemeroptera; Teloganodidae
Description: tRNA-Ala
Rfam family: tRNA
About the family: Transfer RNA (tRNA) molecules are approximately 80 nucleotides in length. Their secondary structure includes four short double-helical elements and three loops (D, anti-codon, and T loops).
Source: RNAcentral